This 374-nucleotide unclassified non-coding RNA is filed under the name uncultured bacterium. Its description in RNAcentral is "contains 16S-23S intergenic spacer region". The record is from RNAcentral.
UCCGGUUUGUCACCGGCAGUCUCCCAUGAGUCCCCGGCUUUACCCGCUGGCAACAUGGGACGGGGGUUGCGCUCGUUGCGGGACUUAACCCAACACCUCACGGCACGAGCUGACGACAGCCAUGCACCACCUGUGAUGGUGUCCCGAAGGAAAACCGUGUUUCCACGGCUGUCACCAACAUGUCAAGCCCAGGUAAGGUUCUUCGCGUCGCAUCGAAUUAAGCCGCAUGCUCCGCCGCUUGUGCGGGCCCCCGUCAAUUCCUUUGAGUUUCAACCUUGCGGCCGUAGUCCCCAGGCGGAUCACUUAAUGCGUUAGCUGCGGCACCGAGGGAAACCCCCCGACACCUAGUGAUCAUCGUUUAGGGCCGAGACUAC